This 800-nucleotide ribosomal RNA is filed under the name uncultured bacterium. RNAcentral describes it as "bacterial SSU rRNA". It matches the Rfam family "Bacterial small subunit ribosomal RNA", at positions 8 to 824 of the family's 1533-position model. The record is from RNAcentral.
AGAGUUUGAUCCUGGCUCAGAACGAACGUUGGCGGCGUGGAUUAGGCAUGCAAGUCGAACGAGAACCCCGCAAGGGGGGAAAGUGGCGAAAGGGGCAGUAAUGCAUGGGUAAUCUACCCUGGGGACGUGGAUAGCCAUCCUAACGGGUGGGUAAUACACGGCGAUUCGGCGAGGGGGCAUCCUCUUGCCGGGAAAUGAAUUUCGCCUCGGGAGGAACUCAUGUCGUAUUAGCUUGUUGGCGGGGUAACGGCCCACCAAGGCGAAGAUGCGUAGCGGGUGUGAGAGCACGACCCGCGCCACUGGCACUGAGACACUGGCCAGACACCUACGGGUGGCUGCAGUCGAGGAUCUUCGGCAAUGGGCGCAAGCCUGACCGAGCGACGCCGCGUGUGCGACGAAGGCCUUCGGGUUGUAAAGCACUGUCGAGGGGGAGGAAGCCGAAAGGUUGACCUAUCCCUGGAGGAAGCACGGGCUAAGUUCGUGCCAGCAGCCGCGGUAAGACGAACCGUGCGAACGUUGUUCGGAAUCACUGGGCAUAAAGGGCGCGUAGGCGGGCCGUCAAGUCAGGGGUGAAAUCCUCCAGCUCAACUGGAGAACUGCCUUUGAUACUGACGGUCUCGAGUGAGGUAGGGGUGUGCGGAACUGAUGGUGGAGCGGUGAAAUGUGUUGAUAUCAUCAGGAACUCCGGUGGCGAAGGCGGCACACUGGACCUUUACUGACGCUGAGGCGCGAAAGCCAGGGGAGCAAACGGGAUUAGAUACCCCGGUAGUCCUGGCCCUAAACGAUGGGUACUGGGUAGU